GUCAGAUAACACUAGGUGCAGAUGUGUUAUUGAAGGAAACCAAAACAUCUUUGUGUUACCUUUAAGUCUGGUUUCCAGAGGGCUCUUCGACAGCCAGCACACAGCAUUACAAUAGGUUUGGAAUGUUAUCCGGUCUUCAUCUGUAAGAGGAACUUGAUCCAGCAACUGAAAUAAAGAAGUAGCACCAGCCAAUUUGCUGCAGUAAAAUGCAACAUCUAUCAGUGACCACGAUGAAGACAUGCUGCUAGUCUAUGUUUGCUUCAUAUUCUAUGCCGUAUAGAAAGAGCACCUCAGAAAGAAUCUCAUUAAAGGAGGUGGAACAAAUUGUCAAUACACCACGGGUGCUAUAUAGAAUAAAUAUAAUAAUAUGUGCUAAGAGUGA
Molecule: long non-coding RNA, 382 nt
Organism: Malaclemys terrapin pileata
Lineage: Eukaryota; Metazoa; Chordata; Testudines; Emydidae
Exons: 2
Source: RefSeq, a predicted model, not a curated record